Paramuricea clavata is the source of this 270-nucleotide non-coding RNA. The record is from the annotation of a GenBank genome assembly. Lineage: Eukaryota; Metazoa; Cnidaria; Anthozoa; Malacalcyonacea; Plexauridae.
CAAGUGGUUAGCGCACUUGCCUUUCACCUCUGAGGCUGCAGGUUCGAGUCUCACUAAGUACCUUCUCAGUGCGACUCGAACCCAGUCCCCAUGUGAAAAGAGUAAAAGUCAACGCUCUGCCGAAAGCCUUGGGUUUUCCCCGGGUACUCCGGUUUCCUCCCAUAGGGAAAGUUGACAGGGUGGGUUAGGUAAAAAGGGCCCACAGUAAUUGGCAUAUGCUGUUGUGGUGACCCUGCCCUAGUUGGCAAAGCUAAAUAAAUAAAUAAAUAU